This 453-nucleotide ribosomal RNA is filed under the name Neisseria flava. RNAcentral describes it as "bacterial SSU rRNA". It matches the Rfam family "Bacterial small subunit ribosomal RNA", at positions 30 to 477 of the family's 1533-position model. The record is from RNAcentral. Lineage: Bacteria; Pseudomonadati; Pseudomonadota; Betaproteobacteria; Neisseriales; Neisseriaceae.
AUUGAACGCUGGCGGCAUGCUUUACACAUGCAAGUCGGACGGCAGCACAGAGAAGCUUGCUUCUUGGGUGGCGAGUGGCGAACGGGUGAGUAACAUAUCGGAACGUACCGGGCAGUGGGGGAUAACUAAUCGAAAGAUUAGCUAAUACCGCAUAUUUUCUGAGGAAGAAAGCAGGGGACCAUUUGGCCUUGCGCUGUUUGAGCGGCCGAUAUCUGAUUAGCUAGUUGGUGGGGUAAAGGCCUACCAAGGCGACGAUCAGUAGCGGGUCUGAGAGGAUGAUCCGCCACACUGGGACUGAGACACGGCCCAGACUCCUACGGGAGGCAGCAGUGGGGAAUUUUGGACAAUGGGCGCAAGCCUGAUCCAGCCAUGCCGCGUGUCUGAAGAAGGCCUUCGGGUUGUAAAGGACUUUUGUCAGGGAAGAAAAGGGCGGGGUUAAUACCCCUGUCUGAU